CUCGGUGGAAAGACUUUCAGAU
RNAcentral lists this non-coding RNA (22 nucleotides) under Rattus norvegicus (Norway rat). The record is from RNAcentral. Lineage: Eukaryota; Metazoa; Chordata; Mammalia; Rodentia; Muridae.